Molecule: ribosomal RNA, 506 nt
Filed under: uncultured bacterium
Lineage: Bacteria
Description: partial 16S ribosomal RNA
Rfam family: Bacterial small subunit ribosomal RNA
Source: RNAcentral
AGUGAACGCUGGCGGCAGGCCUAACACAUGCAAGUCGAACGGCAGCACAGGAGAGCUUGCUCUCUGGGUGGCGAGUGGCGGACGGGUGAGGAAUAUAUCGGAAUCUACCCUUUCGUGGGGGAUAACGUAGGGAAACUUACGCUAAUACCGCAUACGAACUGAGGUUGAAAGCGGCGGACCGCAAGGCGUCGCGCGGAUGGAUGAGCCGAUAUCCGAUUAGCUAGUUGGCGGGGUAAAAGCCCACCAAGGCGACGAUCGGUAGCUGGUCUGAGAGGAUGAUCAGCCACACUGGAACUGAGACACGGUCCAGACUCCUACGGGAGGCAGCAGUGGGGAAUAUUGGACAAUGGGCGCAAGCCUGAUCCAGCCAUGCCGCGUGUGUGAAGAAGGCCUUCGGGUUGUAAAGCACUUUUGUUGGGAAAGAAAAGCGGUCGGUUAAUACCCGGUCGUUCUGACGGUACCCAAAGAAUAAGCACCGGCUAACUUCGUGCCAGCAGCCGCCGUAA